This 1032-nucleotide ribosomal RNA is filed under the name Salmonella enterica subsp. enterica serovar Tamberma. RNAcentral's name for it is "partial 23S ribosomal RNA". It matches the Rfam family "Bacterial large subunit ribosomal RNA", at positions 1 to 1012 of the family's 2925-position model. The record is from RNAcentral. Lineage: Bacteria; Pseudomonadati; Pseudomonadota; Gammaproteobacteria; Enterobacterales; Enterobacteriaceae.
GUCAAAAAAAUAGGUUAAAAUAAUUAAGGGCACACAAAGGAUGCCUAGGUAGUAAGAGCCGAUGAAGGACGUGGUAAGCUGCGAUAAGCCUAGAUAAGUUGCAAUCGAACGUAAGAAUCUAGGAUUUCCGAAUGGAGCAAUCUAUUAAGAUGGAGUCUUAAUACGAAAGAGGGAACCGCGUGAACUGAAACAUCUAAGUAACGCGAGGAAAAGAAAGUAAAAACGAUACCCAAAGUAGCGGCGAGCGAACUGGGUCAAGCCUAAACCUUAAAUAUGUCAAGGAUACAGCCGUUGUAUUUAAGGGGUUGAGGGACAGAGUUGUGAAGAACUGUAAGAUAUUCAAUAUAGUGUAUUGAUGAAUUAGAAUUGUCUGGAAAGGUGAACCGCAGAAGGUGAAAGUCCUGUAUAAGUAAAUCCUUACACAUAUAACUUUGCUCCCAAGUAACAUGGAACACGAGGAAUUCUGUGUGAAUCAGUGAGGACCAAAUCUCAUAAGGCUAAAUACUCUUACUAACCGAUAGCGCAUAGUACCGUGAGGGAAAGGUGAAAAGAACCCCUGGAGGGGAGUGAAAUAGAACCUGAAAUUGUGUGCUUACAAGCGGUCAGAGCCCAUUAGGGUGAUGGCGUGCCUUUUGGAGAAUGAUCCUGCGAGUUACGUUAAACGGCGAGGUUAAGUAUAACGGAGCCGAAGGGAAACCAAGUCUUAAUAGGGCGAUAUAGUCGUUUGGCGUAGACGCGAAACCUGGUGAUCUAAACCUGUCCAGGAUGAAGCUGUGGUAAGACACAGUGGAGGUCCUAACCCACCGCCGUUGAAAAGUUGGGGGAUGAGGUAGGUUUAGGGGUGAAAAGCCAAUCGAACCAGGAGAUAGCUCGUUCUCUCCGAAAUGCAUCUAGGUGCAGCCUUGAGUGUUCAAUUAUGGGGGUAGAGCACUGAAUGAUCUAGGGGGCAUAUUGCUUACUGAAAUCAAUCAAACUCCGAAUACCAUAAUUUAUAGCUCAGGAGUGAGACUAUGGGAGUUAACUUCCAUUGUC